GACGAACGCUGGCGGCGUGCUUAACACAUGCAAGUCGAACGGAAAGGCCCUGCUUUUGUGGGGUGCUCGAGUGGCGAACGGGUGAGUAACACGUAAGUAACCUGCCCUUGACUUUGGGAUAACUUCAGGAAACUGGGGCUAAUACCGGAUAGGAGCUCCUGCUGCAUGGGGGGGGUUGGAAAGUUUCGGCGGUUGGGGAUGGACUCGCGGCUUAUCAGCUUGUUGGUGGGGUAGUGGCUUACCAAGGCUUUGACGGGUAGCCGGCCUGAGAGGGUGACCGGCCACAUUGGGACUGAGAUACGGCCCAGGCUGCUACGGGAGGCAGCAGUGGGGAAUAUUGCACAAUGGGCGGAAGCCUGAUGCAGCAACGCCGCGUGCGGGAUGACGGCCUUCGGGUUGUAAACCGCUUUCGCCUGUGACGAAGCGUGAGUGACGGUAAUGGGUAAAGAAGCACCGGCUAACUACGUG
This 468-nucleotide ribosomal RNA is filed under the name uncultured bacterium. RNAcentral describes it as "partial 16S ribosomal RNA". It matches the Rfam family "Bacterial small subunit ribosomal RNA", at positions 28 to 507 of the family's 1533-position model. The record is from RNAcentral.